AUCCCUGUCUCCUCUGCACUGGGGAACUUGGGGCCACUCACCCAUUGGCCUGGGACUCAGGAGCUUGACUGGUAAAAAUGAAGUAGCCAGGCAGGGUGGUUGGACACCCAGGGAAGGGUGGGCCCAAGGAAAAAGAAUCAGCCUCCAUGAUGAAAAAAAUGAGGAACUUCCCAUCCAUCAAGAUGGAGGAUGAGAGACCCACAUUCCCCACAGGCAGUGAGCCCAGUCUGGAAAGGGAGUGUGGCUAAACCAUCUGCCUUCAUCUUCCAACCAUCUGAGGAACAAUUACAGACGGGCUCAGCCUCAGUGGUAUGCUUUGUGAACAACUUCUACCCCAAAGAAGCCACAGUCCAGUGGAAGGUCGAUAAUGUGGCCAGAAGCUCAGGUGUCGUGACCAGCUUCACAGAGCAGGACAGCCAGGACAGUACAUACAGCCUGAGUAGCACCCUGGCCCUCACUGCAAGCGAUUACAAAGCUCACGAAACAUACACCUGUGAGGUCACUCACGAAAGCCUGUCCUCUGCCCUAGUGACAUCCUUCCAGAGGAGCCAAUGUUCUUGAGCGGGGCAACAGGGGCCCGCAGAAGGGAACCUCCCCAACUCCCACCCAUUCCCCACCCCUUCUUGCUCUCAUGUUUCAAUGUCCCCUUUCUUGGCCUAGUGAUAACAGGUCAUUCUCCUGUUCAAAGAUCCACCUACCCAUGGCCUUAUUCAUUCUUGUCUUCAUCUUUGCCUGCGCUAAUAAUGUCUAUAUUUAAAAGGAAAAAAAAAACAAAUAAAGUCAAUUAAAUGGUCCCUGUA
Trichosurus vulpecula (common brushtail) is the source of this 800-nucleotide non-coding RNA. The record is from the annotation of a RefSeq genome assembly. NCBI's taxonomy places the organism in Eukaryota, Metazoa, Chordata, Mammalia, Diprotodontia, Phalangeridae.